GGGGGAGCUUGAAGUUUGACGGGAUCGAUUCCUGCAUGAUCAUUUGAGAGAAAGGAGGGUCAGUACAGAUGUCCUCACCAUAAGCAGGGGGAGCGUGGUGGAGCUCUUCGAUCCACCGGUUCAUCUCCUGGAGCCUUUGAUCCAGAAGGUCUUCUCGAUUGUGAGUCUCGAGGAUCUUCUGGCAGAAUGGAGGUAGGGAUCCUCCGAGAGUGGAAUCG
This 218-nucleotide long non-coding RNA is filed under the name Elaeis guineensis (African oil palm). RNAcentral describes it as "long non-coding RNA (EGUI_LNC072382)". Lineage: Eukaryota; Viridiplantae; Streptophyta; Magnoliopsida; Arecales; Arecaceae. The record is from RNAcentral.